RNAcentral lists this ribosomal RNA (396 nucleotides) under uncultured bacterium. RNAcentral describes it as "partial 16S ribosomal RNA". It matches the Rfam family "Bacterial small subunit ribosomal RNA", at positions 523 to 918 of the family's 1533-position model. The record is from RNAcentral.
AUACGUAGGGGGCAAGCGUUAUCCGGAUUUACUGGGUGUAAAGGGAGCGCAGACGGCGGUUCAAGUCUGAUGUGAAAUACGGGGGCUCAACUCCCGGGCUGCAUUGGAAACUGGACGGCUGGAGUGCCGGAGGGGUAAGCGGAAUUCCUGGUGUAGCGGUGAAAUGCGUAGAUAUCAGGAGGAACACCGGUGGUGAAGGCGGCUUACUGGACGGUAACUGACGUUGAGGCUCGAAAGCGUGGGGAGCAAACAGGAUUAGAUACCCUGGUAGUCCACGCGGUAAACGAUGAAUACUAGGUGUUGGGGGGCAAGGCCCUUCGGUGCCGUCGCAAACGCAAUAAGUAUUCCACCUGGGGGGUACGUUCGCAAGAAUGAAACUCAAAUGAAUUGACGGGG